RNAcentral lists this ribosomal RNA (253 nucleotides) under uncultured bacterium. RNAcentral's name for it is "partial 16S ribosomal RNA". It matches the Rfam family "Archaeal small subunit ribosomal RNA", at positions 474 to 727 of the family's 1478-position model. The record is from RNAcentral.
UACCAGCACCCCGAGUGUUCGGGACGAUUAUUGGGCCUAAAGCAUCCGUAGCCGGUUUUACAAGUCCUCCGUUAAAUCCAGCUGCUUAACAGGUGGGCUGCGGAGGAUACUAUAAGACUAGGAGGCAGGAGAGGCAAGCGGUACUCAGUGGGUAGGGGUAAAAUCCGUUGAUCCAUUGAAGACCACCAGUGGCGAAGGCGGCUUGCCAGAAUGCGCUCGACGGUGAGGGAUGAAAGCUGGGGGAGCAAACCGG